This 311-nucleotide small nuclear RNA is filed under the name Ophiophagus hannah (king cobra). RNAcentral's name for it is "7SK RNA". It matches the Rfam family "7SK RNA", at positions 3 to 248 of the family's 331-position model. Rfam says of the family: 7SK was discovered as an abundant small nuclear RNA in the mid-70s but a possible function has only recently been suggested. Lineage: Eukaryota; Metazoa; Chordata; Lepidosauria; Squamata; Elapidae. The record is from Rfam by way of RNAcentral.
ACGUGAGACUGAUCUGGCUGUGAUAUUUUUCACCCCAUUGAUAUCUUUUACCCCAUUGGGUUGAUUGGCUGAUCUGGCUGGUUAGGCAGAUGUCCCCUACCUCCCUCACCACUCCAUGUGCAUCCCUCCCAAAACUCUACAUUUGGUGGAAGAGGAUGACCAUUCAUGUUAGGACUGUAAUGAUCUUCAGUCAAGGAUCCACGAUAGCUGCUUUCCCCUGCUUAGAACCUCCAAACAAGCUUCCCUUGAAAUCUCUGAUUCCUUUUCAUUUCUUUACAUUGUGUUUUUAAAUUAAGAACUGAUAUUUCUUU